Tympanuchus pallidicinctus (lesser prairie-chicken) is the source of this 593-nucleotide long non-coding RNA. RefSeq lists it as uncharacterized. The transcript has 5 exons. Lineage: Eukaryota; Metazoa; Chordata; Aves; Galliformes; Phasianidae. The record is from RefSeq and is a predicted model, not a curated record.
AUACCGUGGUUCAAUGCCAUUGUCAACCAAAUAUUUGUCACCAAAUGAAAGAAUGCGAGCAAGAAAUGUACACAUGCAAAGGAAAUUAAAAUACAAGUGUUUGCUUCAGGAGGCAGUGGCAGUGAACAGGUGAAACACUGGGUGAGAGGAGGCUGUCAUCAUUAUCAUAACGUGAGGACCAGAGAGGGAGGAUGGGAUGAAGUGACGGAAUUUGUGCAGAAUGACACACAGCUGUCACGGGAGGAGAUGCAGAGCACUGUAUCUGGAGUCACGGCAGCAUACGAGCGAGAGCAGUUGUGGCUGGCCAAAGAGAACCUGAUGGUGAAGCUUCAGGCUUGUGGUCGAGGCUGUCUUGUCUGUCAGGAAUUCAACUCCAGAAUGAGGUUUUUGAAGAAGCAAGUUCCAGCCAUCGCUUGCAUGCAGUCCCAGUGGCGUGGCUAUAAACAGAGGAAGGCAUAUCAAAUCCGUUUGGAUUACUGAUGAGCACACAAGGACCAAGAAGUGAAGAUUCAGUCACUGGCCAGGAUGUAUCAAGGCAGAAGGCGUUACAGAGAUCACCUGCAAUCUUUCAGAGACCACAUAAGAGAUUGUGA